RNAcentral lists this non-coding RNA (69 nucleotides) under Lentzea aerocolonigenes. The record is from RNAcentral. Lineage: Bacteria; Bacillati; Actinomycetota; Actinomycetes; Pseudonocardiales; Pseudonocardiaceae.
CUUGAUGGAGCCGAGCAGCAGCGGCGUCUCCCUGUUCUGCCCAUACGUCGCGAGCACGGCCUGAGCCUC